This is a long non-coding RNA of Equus caballus (horse), 3932 nucleotides long. The record is from Ensembl. Lineage: Eukaryota; Metazoa; Chordata; Mammalia; Perissodactyla; Equidae.
AAACACCCUCACAGACACACCCAGAAUAUGGUGGAUGUCUGGGACUCCCCCCCCGCCCCCGGCCCCGGGCGCCCCUGGUUGACAUUCCAUACGUGCACUAUAAGCGUAUCCCCCGUCUCACCUCAUUACUCCUCACGCCACCCUGCGGGGUAGGUGCCACCGUUCACAGGUAAGGGUCUAGGUAUAGAGGGUUAGCUAUGCAGCUGAGAAGUGGCUGCCGUGGGGUUCCACACAGAGCCACCCCACAACCUGCUGGAGUUCAGGCUGGUCUGGAAAUUCCUCGGGGAGUCAGCUCCGCUUCCCCAGUCCACCGGCCCCACAGCCAAACUAACCGCGAAGAAUUCCUUCGCUCUCCCCUCCUCUUUGGUGUCCACCAUGGCCUUCUCCGCUGCCUGGGGACCAGCCACCGGGCGCGGAGGACCCGCAGCGCGCGCGGCGCCCGCACCUCCCAGUGUGAAUGGCGCAGCGCCGCCCGGUUCGCGUCGCUCAGACGCCCGGGCCUCGCGGGACCCACACUCCGGGCGGACGGGUCGGUGGUGAGUUCAGCCUCCGUCCGGUGAGUGUGCGGACCCCGGGCCGCGGACCGGGCCGCCCGGCAGCACGCGCUCCCGCCGCCUGGGUCAGUGCGCGCCGCCUCUGAGCCGCGCAAACCACAGCCUCGGGGCCUCCGCGCAUCGCCCCCGAUUGUGCCGUGUGUGCCCGCGAUCACCUCUCCGCCGUCCUCCCGGUGUGUGCCCCAUAAUCUUUCCAGGGUUUAGGGCCUGCACAGUCUGUGCCCGCCCCGCGCUGGGCGUUGUUGAGAGCUUGGCUGAGGGCGGAGGCCGGGGAGGAGGGGGCCACACAGAGUGCCCCGUGGGCCCUGCUGUGUAGACAGCCAGGCUGAGGGAGGAGCUGCCAAACCAGGAGGAAAGGGCAUUUAAUUAAGACGGAGGAGAGGAGGUCGUGAUGGCCCAGGGGAGGGGAGCAGUCCGGGCAAGCCGAGGUCAGUAAGCUGUCCAGAGACAUCCGCCAGCUUCAAGGGAAAGAGACACAGGCCAGCACCUCUGAUUGUGGCGUCUGUUCCUGCUGCAGCACAGCGUCGUCUGCUUCAACUGUGAACACAGGCCCUGCUGGCCAGUCGCGAUGUUCAACCAGAGAACACGAGUGCAGCAUCUACUCACCCUUGAGCCUGCCGCAUGAAGAAGCAGUGUGUGGUCUGGACCAUCAGCAGAACUAACUUCACCGUCCUCCAGAAAUGCGGAACUCGGUGGGCAUGCUGCUGUGACCACAUCUUGGAUACACCUGGCCAGAAAUUAAAAUAGUACCCUAAAAGUCAAAUCCCCCUUGUAAGCCAGGCUCACAAUAAAAAAGCCGUGAGCUAGUGGUCAGCUAGUGUAGAAACAGCUGGAACAGUGUGUUGAUGCCAAGUUCAUUUUCAUCACACACACAUGCACGUGCGCACACACACACGCACGGCUUAGAAAAAAAGUACCAGAGUUGCUCCUGUGUGUCCGAAUCACAGCAAGGAAAUAAAUAUUACUGAAGGUUUUUGAACCAGAGGUGAAGCCAUUAGUGAGAGUCAAAUGGCAGGAGCACAAAGCCCCUUCACAAUGGAAAGGAGUGGCUGUCAGCGGGAGGAAUGUUCUGGAGAAGAAAGGGAAGAGAAAGGCGAAGCCACGCUUGGUUGACAAGAGGCCGUGGUGACUGAUGGCCUGGAGCAGUGCGUUGUGGAGCGUCCUCGAGAACAGAGAAGAUGCGGCUUCUGCAAAGGCCGCAGAGCAGAGUCAGAGCCGAGCACAUCCUGCACGGCGCUCCACGGCGAGUCAGGCAAAACCAGCGUCCUGGCGCCGGGACGGUAGUCAAAGCUGAGUGAAGGACAGUCGAGCGAUUAAAAUGCAUUUCACUGCUAAUUCACCACCAACGAGUCGGCCGCCUUGUUGCACUGUCCAUCCACCAACUGAGGCAUCGAGGCCUGACCCCUGUUCAAGGUCAGGCUCCCUGCUGCACAUUCAGUCAGUGGGCAGCAGUCCAGUGGCUACUCCACGAGCCCAGCACUGGAUCCACGAGGUGUGGAAGCGCCGUCUGCAUUUCACAGGUGAGCAGACGAGGGCUCGCGUGUGCACUCCCACGGCACAGUUCAGCUCAGGCCUCCAACCUCAGGCCCAACACGAGAGAGCUCCGAGGAAGCCCUGCCCUCCGCCCUCCUCGGGCCCCGCUGGAUUUGGGGGCUUUCUCUAGAGCUUUGGUGACUGAAUCCUUUGUCUCCCAAGUGGGGCACUUUAGAGAACAUGGGGGUCUACUAAGAAUCACACCUGGAGACAGGCGUGAACCAGGACUGGCCAGGGGGCAAGAGGAGUGGAGACCCCACCCACAGCCCAGCUGCAUGGGCCCAAACAGACACAGGCGUUUCCUUCCCAGGCCCCUGCAAAGUGCUCAGCCCGUGAGCCCCUUGGUUUGUGGGUGAGAGUGUCCCCAGACGGGGAAGAGAGGGAGGCUUGGGAGGGAGCAGAGCUGAGGCCCGGCCCCAGCGUGGACACUGCCGGCCGCCACGCAGACAGCAUCCCAGCCCAACACUCACUGCUGGCAGGGGUGACAAUGAAAAUACUUAACCAUAUGGCAAGGGCAUCGACCAAUCAAAUAAAGGAGACAUCGUGCCAAGACGGGGCUGCAGGCCCUGAUCCGCUGGUUACUACCCCUCCAGGAGGUCCCAGGGGGAGCGGGGACAGAGGAGAGGGGCCUCAGGAGGCCCAGAGUGUCUAUGACCAACCAUUGCAGGAGCAUGUCAAUAUUCUAACCAGUACAGCGCCCUCACUCACUGCGCUGGGAUAAACCAGGAAAACACAGAGAGUCCUAAGGAUCCAUUUUUGCUGCGUAACAAACCAGCCCAAACUUGGUGGCUUACAUAAUAGCUAUUGAUUUAGAUUAUGGUCUGUGGAUCGGCCAUCUGAGCAGGGCUCAGCUGGGUGGGCCAGCUUGUCUCAGAGGGGCUCCGUCACACAUCUGUGGUCGGUCGUCAUCAGCUGGCACGGCUCCUGCACGUUGGCCGGCUGGCGGCUGGGUGCGAGGCGGCUGGGCCCCGUCGACAGCCCCCAGCGGGUGAGCCUGGGCGUGUUCACAGGGUGGAAGCUCUUCCUGGAGGGGGAGGAAGCUGCAAGACCUCUCGAGGCCUGCACACAGGACUGGGACGCGGACAAUCCUACUGCGGUCUAUUCGCCACAGCAAAGCACAGGGUCAGCCCAAGUGCGUGGGAUGGAGAAACAGACCCAGGUUCUGGUGGGAGGGGUGUUGUGGAGGGAAGAGAAGAGCCAUUUUGCGAUCUACCACAAAGUGCUGUAAACAGGUGCUGCCCCACAGCCUCCAGACUUAGCAGGGCCCCGGAGGAUGGCGGGCAGGGCCUGACUGGAGAGCUAUUCAGUUUUCAAUUUAAAACGUCGGAGGGAGCUGAGAAGAGGUGAUCCUUCCGGAUGUGUUUGCCUGGAGACCGAGAACAAAAGCUUAGGCCGGUCGAGCCGAUUUUUGUUUUGUGUAUUUGUUUUUUCUUUUAUUUAUUUAUGAAAUCAGCGGAGUCCGGGAGUGAUUUUCCUCUGUGUUUUCAAAUAAGGUUUAAAAGGCUAUGCCCUGGGCUGGGCAUUUUCUUGGCAGAGCCGCUGCACACAGCUUCGCAGACUCUGAGGGAGGAUGUAUUUAUGUUUGAUGCAGUCACAUUUGAUGGGUGUUUGGGUGAGGGUUUUUAAAUGGGAAAAAAAAGAACUGAGUGUACAAAAGAUCAGAAAGGACGUGCAUCGCAAAGGCUGAGAGAGGCACAAAGGAUGCACGGAGUCCACAUUUAUUCCUCAAGUGCAUUAAGCCCAUUAUGGCAAAAGGAAGGGAUUUUAUUGCUUUCUAUCCAACCUAAUGACACCAGAAACCCUCAACAGUGGACAAAGCCAUUUUCUUCCUUAGAUAAAAUAAAA